GCUACUAUGUAGUAUAAAGGCUCUUCUCGGAGCACGUGACCCCUCUCCGCCCGACCGCCGCCGCGCCGCCAUCAUGGACACGAGCCGUGUGCAGCCCAUCAAACUGGCCAGGGUCACCAAGGUGCUGGGCAGGACCGGCUCGCAGGGACAGUGCACGCAGGUGCGCGUGGAGUUCAUGGACGACACGAGCCGCUCCAUCAUCCGCAACGUGAAAGGUCCUGUGCGUGAGGGCGACGUGCUCACCCUCUUGGAGUCAGAGCGAGAAGCUCGGAGGUUGCGCUGAACUUGUGGCUGGGUCCAGGCUGUCUGGGUCGACCACUUGUCUCACGGGGAUGGAUCUGCGAUUGUUAAUAAAGCGUUUAUGUUGUACGUAAA
Felis catus (domestic cat) is the source of this 375-nucleotide long non-coding RNA. RefSeq annotates it as ribosomal protein S28. The transcript has 4 exons. NCBI's taxonomy places the organism in Eukaryota, Metazoa, Chordata, Mammalia, Carnivora, Felidae. The record is from RefSeq and is a predicted model, not a curated record.